GACGAACGCUGGCGGCGUGCCUAAUACAUGCAAGUCGAACGCUUUUAUCAUCACCGGAGCUUGCUCCACCGAUGAUAAAGGAGUGGCGGACGGGUGAGUAACACGUAGGUAACCUACCCAACAGCGGGGGAUAACACUUGGAAACAGGUGCUAAUACCGCAUAAUUGCUUUUACCGCAUGGUAGAAGUAUGAAAGACGCUUUCGGGUGUCACUGAUGGAUGGACCUGCGGUGCAUUAGCUAGUUGGUGAGGUAAAGGCUCACCAAGGCAACGAUGCAUAGCCGACCUGAGAGGGUGAUCGGCCACACUGGGACUGAGACACGGCCCAGACUCCUACGGGAGGCAGCAGUAGGGAAUCUUCGGCAAUGGACGAAAGUCUGACCGAGCAACGCCGCGUGAGUGAAGAAGGUUUUCGGAUCGUAAAACUCUGUUGUUAGAGAAGAACAAAGGUGAGAGUAACUGUUCACCUCUUGACGGUAUCUAACCAGAAAGCCACGGCUAACUACGUGCCAGCCGCCGC
Molecule: ribosomal RNA, 519 nt
Filed under: uncultured bacterium
Lineage: Bacteria
Description: bacterial SSU rRNA
Rfam family: Bacterial small subunit ribosomal RNA
Source: RNAcentral